This 496-nucleotide ribosomal RNA is filed under the name uncultured bacterium. RNAcentral's name for it is "partial 16S ribosomal RNA". It matches the Rfam family "Bacterial small subunit ribosomal RNA", at positions 29 to 507 of the family's 1533-position model. The record is from RNAcentral.
AUAAACGCUGGCGGCGUGCCUAAUACAUGCAAGUCGAGCGAACAGAUGAGGAGCUUGCUCCUCUGACGUUAGCGGCGGACGGGUGAGUAACACGUGGAUAACCUACCUAUAAGACUGGGAUAACUUCGGGAAACCGGAGCUAAUACCGGAUAAUAUAUUGAACCGCAUGGUUCAAUAGUGAAAGACGGUUUUGCUGUCACUUAUAGAUGGAUCCGCGCCGCAUUAGCUAGUUGGUAAGGUAACGGCUUACCAAGGCAACGAUGCGUAGCCGACCUGAGAGGGUGAUCGGCCACACUGGAACUGAGACACGGUCCAGACUCCUACGGGAGGCAGCAGUAGGGAAUCUUCCGCAAUGGGCGAAAGCCUGACGGAGCAACGCCGCGUGAGUGAUGAAGGUCUUCGGAUCGUAAAACCCUGUUAUUAGGGAAGAACAAAUGUGUAAGUAACUAUGCACGUCUUGACGGUACCUAAUCAGAAAGCCACGGCUAACUACGUG